UACGGGGGGAGCAAGCGUUGUUCGGAUUUACUGGGCGUAAAGGGCGCGUAGGCGGCCAGUUGCGUCUGCUGUGAAAUCCCGGGGCUCAACCCCGGGCUUGCAGUGGAUACGGGCUGGCUGGAGGCAGGCAGGGGAGAACGGAAUUCCCGGUGUAGCGGUGAAAUGCGCAGAUAUCGGGAGGAACACCGGUGGCGAAGGCGGUUCUCUGGGCCUGUACUGACGCUGAGGAGCGAAAGCGUGGGGAGCGAACAGG
RNAcentral lists this ribosomal RNA (253 nucleotides) under uncultured bacterium. RNAcentral's name for it is "partial 16S ribosomal RNA". It matches the Rfam family "Bacterial small subunit ribosomal RNA", at positions 524 to 776 of the family's 1533-position model. The record is from RNAcentral.